RNAcentral lists this ribosomal RNA (614 nucleotides) under uncultured marine eukaryote. RNAcentral describes it as "SSU rRNA". It matches the Rfam family "Eukaryotic small subunit ribosomal RNA", at positions 614 to 1229 of the family's 1831-position model. The record is from RNAcentral.
UGUGGUUAAAAAGCUCGUAGUUGGAUCUCAACAGCCUUGAAGCGGUUAACUUUGUAGUUUUACUGCUUUAUAGGCUGUGCUUUUGCUGGAGGUUUAGGGGUGCUCUUGAUCGAGUGUUUCUGGAUGCCAGCAGGUUUACUUUGAAAAAAUUAGAGUGCUCAAAGCAGGCUAAAAUGCCUGAAUAUUCGUGCAUGGAAUAAUAGAAUAGGAUGUCGAUCCUAUUUUGUUGGUUUUCGGGACUCGACAUAAUGAUAAAUAGGGACAGUCGGGGGCAUUUGUAUUCAAACGACAGAGGUGAAAUUCUUGGACCGUUUGAAGACAAACUACUGCGAAAGCAUUUGCCAAGAAUGUUUUCAUUAAUCAAGAACGAAAGUUAGAGGUUCGAAGGCGAUUAGAUACCGCCCUAGUUCUAACCAUAAACGAUGCCAGCUAGCGAUCUGCCUGCGUUUUUACUGUAGACUGGGCAGGAAGCUUCCGGGAAACCAAAGCAUUUGGGUUCCGGGGGAAGUAUGGUUGCAAAGCUGAAACUUAAAGGAAUUGACGGAAGGGCACCACCAGGAGUGGAGCCUGUGGCUUAAUUUGACUCAACACGGGAAAUCUCACCAGGCCCGGAC